GUGGGGAAUCUUCCGCAAUGGACGAAAGUCUGACGGAGCAACGCCGCGUGAGUGAAGAAGGUUUUCGGAUCGUAAAGCUCUUUCGUUAGGGACGAACGUGCUCUUUGUGAAUAAUGAGGAGUAAUGACGGUACCUAAAUAAGAAGCCACGGCUAACUACGUGCCAGCAGCCGCGGUAAUACGUAGGUGGCAAGCGUUGUCCGGAAUUAUUGGGCGUAAAGCGCGCGCAGGCGGGAUAUCAAGUCUGUCUUAAAAGUGCGAGGCUCAACCUCGUGAGGGGACAGAAACUGGUAUUCUUGAGUGUCGGAGAGGAAAGUGGAAUUCCAAGUGUAGCGGUGAAAUGCGUAGAGAUUUGGAAGAACACCAGUGGCGAAGGCGACUUUCUGGACGAUGUCUGACGCUGAGGCGCGAAAGCUAGGGGAGCGAACGGGAUUAGAAACCCCAG
Molecule: ribosomal RNA, 444 nt
Filed under: uncultured bacterium
Lineage: Bacteria
Description: partial 16S ribosomal RNA
Rfam family: Bacterial small subunit ribosomal RNA
Source: RNAcentral